AUGAGGGAAACAUCUGCAAUGCAGUAAAUAGGAGCCAAUAGGAAAAUUGGAGGGUAGAUAUGAGGGGUAAAUACAUUACAACUUGAAAAACUUGGAAUAAAACUGUGCUGAACAGAUUCACUGGUAACACUAAAACAGACUUUUCCAUUGUCAGCUGUUCCUCAAUAUCGAUGUUAUAACCUAUUGCUUUUGGGUCAUUUUUAGGUUGUCUUAGAUGGGAACCAUGAAGUCCUGGAGAAAGACAAGGCAUGAAGAACAGAGUAGGCCUUUGACUCCAGACACAAAGGCCUUGCAGGAUUACAUUUUGUAGGAAGGCUUGCUCUUUUCCUCAGCUGAAGAAUCUACAUCCCCAUAGAACUGAUUUGGAAACUGUCCACUAGUUGUGAUCCAGACAUGCAGCUGAGCUGUUCAGGAGGUGGACAUGAUUUUAAUUCCCACAUCUCCCUUUAUCAGGUCCUACCUACCCUCCUUACCUAACUGGUAGAAGGACAAGCUUCAGUCUUCUGGGACAUCCUCCUUACAGAACCUUAAGAGGUUCUCUGUAAGUCUGCUGAUUUUAGGAUUUUCUUUUUCCAAGAGUCAAGAGACAGCCAUUUGUUAUUGAACACAUUUUUCUGGUUCUAUUAAGAAGC
Lepidothrix coronata (blue-crowned manakin) is the source of this 632-nucleotide long non-coding RNA. RefSeq lists it as uncharacterized. The transcript is spliced from 4 exons. The record is from RefSeq and is a predicted model, not a curated record. NCBI's taxonomy places the organism in Eukaryota, Metazoa, Chordata, Aves, Passeriformes, Pipridae.